This 105-nucleotide small nucleolar RNA is filed under the name Henningerozyma blattae CBS 6284. The record is from RNAcentral. Lineage: Eukaryota; Fungi; Ascomycota; Saccharomycetes; Saccharomycetales; Saccharomycetaceae.
UAUUGUGAUGAUUCAAAAUAUUCACACUGUACUAAUGCCAGCCCUUAAACAAGGCUGGUUUAAUGACUACAAAAAACAAAAAAAACUGAUUUAAUGACUCUGAUU